GAAGCAAAUGUAGUGGAACUGGCCAGA
This 27-nucleotide non-coding RNA is filed under the name Rattus norvegicus (Norway rat). The record is from RNAcentral. Lineage: Eukaryota; Metazoa; Chordata; Mammalia; Rodentia; Muridae.